Molecule: non-coding RNA, 24 nt
Filed under: Arabidopsis thaliana (thale cress)
Lineage: Eukaryota; Viridiplantae; Streptophyta; Magnoliopsida; Brassicales; Brassicaceae
Source: RNAcentral
GACCACUUGAUCACUGUGCACAUG